GACGAACGCUGGCGACGUGCUUAACACAUGCCAGUCGAACGGAAAGGCCCUGCUUUUGUGGGGUGCUCGAGUGGCGAACGGGUGAGUAACACGUGAGUAACCUGCCCUUGACUUUGGGAUAACUUCAGGAAACUGGGGCUAAUACCGGAUAGGAGCUCCUGCCGCAUGGUGGGGGUUGGAAAGUUUCGGCGGUUGGGGAUGGACUCGCGGCUUAUCAGCUUGUUGGUGGGGUAGUGGCUUACCAAGGCUUUGACGGGUAGCCGGCCUGAGAGGGUGACCGGCCACAUUGGGACUGAGAUACGGCCCAGACUCCUACGGGAGGCAGCAGUGGGGAAUAUUGCACAAUGGGCGGAAGCCUGAUGCAGCAACGCCGCGUGCGGGAUGACGGCCUUCGGGUUGUAAACCGCUUUCGCCUGUGGCGAAGCGUGAGUGACGGUAAUGGGUAAAGAAGCACCGGCUAACUACGUG
RNAcentral lists this ribosomal RNA (468 nucleotides) under uncultured bacterium. RNAcentral describes it as "partial 16S ribosomal RNA". It matches the Rfam family "Bacterial small subunit ribosomal RNA", at positions 28 to 507 of the family's 1533-position model. The record is from RNAcentral.